ACUCCUACGGGGAGGCAGCAGUGGGGGAAUAUUGCACAAUGGGGGGAAAACCCCUGAUGCAGCCAUGCCGCGUGUGUGAAGAAGGCCUUCGGGUUGUAAAGCACUUUCAGUAGGGAGGAAGGUAGUGUAGUUAACACCUGCACUAUUUGUACGUUACCUACAGAAGAAGCACCGGCUAACUCCGUGCCAGCAGCCGCGGGUAAUACGGGAGGGUGCGAGCGUUAAUCGGAAUUACGUGGGCGUAAAGCGCAUGCGACGGCGGUCCUGUUAAGUCAGAUGUGAAACGCCCGGGGUCUUAACCGUCGGAAUUGCAUUUGAAACUGGCAGGCUAGAGUCUUGGUAGAGGGGGUUAGAAGUUUCGGGUGUAGCGGUGAAAUGCGUAGAGAUCGUAGAAGG
RNAcentral lists this ribosomal RNA (396 nucleotides) under uncultured bacterium. RNAcentral's name for it is "bacterial SSU rRNA". It matches the Rfam family "Bacterial small subunit ribosomal RNA", at positions 335 to 705 of the family's 1533-position model. The record is from RNAcentral.